This 484-nucleotide ribosomal RNA is filed under the name uncultured bacterium. RNAcentral's name for it is "partial 16S ribosomal RNA". It matches the Rfam family "Bacterial small subunit ribosomal RNA", at positions 29 to 523 of the family's 1533-position model. The record is from RNAcentral.
AGUGAACGCUGGCGGCGUGCUUAACACAUGCAAGUCGAACGAGAACGGGCUAUAGCUUGCUAUAGUUGUCAGCUAAGUGGCGCACGGGUGAGUAAUGUAUAGGUAAUAUGCCUCUUACUAAGGGAUAACAAAUGGAAACGUUUGCUAAUACCUUAUACUCCUUAUUAACAGAAGUUAAUAAGAGAAAGAUUUAUUGGUAAGAGAUUAGCCUGUAUUGUAUCAGUUAGUUGGUGGGGUAAUGGCUUACCAAGACUAUGACACAUAACUGGUUUGAGAGGAUGAUCAGUCACACUGGAACUGAGACACGGUCCAGACUCCUACGGGAGGCAGCAGUGGGGAAUAUUGCACAAUGGACGAAAGUCUGAUGCAGCAACGCCGCGUGGAGGAUGACACAUUUCGGUGCGUAAACUCCUUUUAUAUGAGAAGAUAAUGACGGUAUUAUGUGAAUAAGCACCGGCUAACUCCGUGCCAGCAGCCGCCGUAA